GUGUUGGUUGACAAAUGUCUCAUAUAUCAAUCUUAUGGUGAUAUGACCUUACAUGACUUGAUAGAGGACAUGGGUAAAGCAAUCGUCC
This 88-nucleotide microRNA precursor is filed under the name Medicago truncatula (barrel medic). RNAcentral describes it as "miR5255 stem-loop (mtr-MIR5255)". Lineage: Eukaryota; Viridiplantae; Streptophyta; Magnoliopsida; Fabales; Fabaceae. The record is from miRBase by way of RNAcentral.